CCUUCGGGUNGUAAACCUCUUUCAGUAGGGAAGAAGCGAAAGUNACGGUACCUGCAGAAGAAGCGCCGNNUAACUACGUGCCAGCAGCCGCGGUAAUACGUAGGGCGCAAGCGUUAUCCGGAUUUAUUGGGCGUAAAGAGCUCGUAGGCGGUUUGUCGCGUCUGCCGUGAAAGUCCGAGG
Molecule: ribosomal RNA, 180 nt
Filed under: uncultured Arthrobacter sp.
Lineage: Bacteria; Bacillati; Actinomycetota; Actinomycetes; Micrococcales; Micrococcaceae
Description: partial 16S ribosomal RNA
Rfam family: Bacterial small subunit ribosomal RNA
Source: RNAcentral